This 2417-nucleotide ribosomal RNA is filed under the name Escherichia coli. RNAcentral's name for it is "partial 23S ribosomal RNA". It matches the Rfam family "Bacterial large subunit ribosomal RNA", at positions 396 to 2798 of the family's 2925-position model. The record is from RNAcentral. Lineage: Bacteria; Pseudomonadati; Pseudomonadota; Gammaproteobacteria; Enterobacterales; Enterobacteriaceae.
GCUGUGAGCUCGAUGAGUAGGGCGGGACACGUGGUAUCCUGUCUGAAUAUGGGGGGACCAUCCUCCAAGGCUAAAUACUCCUGACUGACCGAUAGUGAACCAGUACCGUGAGGGAAAGGCGAAAAGAACCCCGGCGAGGGGAGUGAAAAAGAACCUGAAACCGUGUACGUACAAGCAGUGGGAGCACGCUUAGGCGUGUGACUGCGUACCUUUUGUAUAAUGGGUCAGCGACUUAUAUUCUGUAGCAAGGUUAACCGAAUAGGGGAGCCGAAGGGAAACCGAGUCUUAACUGGGCGUUAAGUUGCAGGGUAUAGACCCGAAACCCGGUGAUCUAGCCAUGGGCAGGUUGAAGGUUGGGUAACACUAACUGGAGGACCGAACCGACUAAUGUUGAAAAAUUAGCGGAUGACUUGUGGCUGGGGGUGAAAGGCCAAUCAAACCGGGAGAUAGCUGGUUCUCCCCGAAAGCUAUUUAGGUAGCGCCUCGUGAAUUCAUCUCCGGGGGUAGAGCACUGUUUCGGCAAGGGGGUCAUCCCGACUUACCAACCCGAUGCAAACUGCGAAUACCGGAGAAUGUUAUCACGGGAGACACACGGCGGGUGCUAACGUCCGUCGUGAAGAGGGAAACAACCCAGACCGCCAGCUAAGGUCCCAAAGUCAUGGUUAAGUGGGAAACGAUGUGGGAAGGCCCAGACAGCCAGGAUGUUGGCUUAGAAGCAGCCAUCAUUUAAAGAAAGCGUAAUAGCUCACUGGUCGAGUCGGCCUGCGCGGAAGAUGUAACGGGGCUAAACCAUGCACCGAAGCUGCGGCAGCGACGCUUAUGCGUUGUUGGGUAGGGGAGCGUUCUGUAAGCCUGUGAAGGUGUGCUGUGAGGCAUGCUGGAGGUAUCAGAAGUGCGAAUGCUGACAUAAGUAACGAUAAAGCGGGUGAAAAGCCCGCUCGCCGGAAGACCAAGGGUUCCUGUCCAACGUUAAUCGGGGCAGGGUGAGUCGACCCCUAAGGCGAGGCCGAAAGGCGUAGUCGAUGGGAAACAGGUUAAUAUUCCUGUACUUGGUGUUACUGCGAAGGGGGGACGGAGAAGGCUAUGUUGGCCGGGCGACGGUUGUCCCGGUUUAAGCGUGUAGGCUGGUUUUCCAGGCAAAUCCGGAAAAUCAAGGCUGAGGCGUGAUGACGAGGCACUACGGUGCUGAAGCAACAAAUGCCCUGCUUCCAGGAAAAGCCUCUAAGCAUCAGGUAACAUCAAAUCGUACCCCAAACCGACACAGGUGGUCAGGUAGAGAAUACCAAGGCGCUUGAGAGAACUCGGGUGAAGGAACUAGGCAAAAUGGUGCCGUAACUUCGGGAGAAGGCACGCUGAUAUGUAGGUGAAGUCCCUCGCGGAUGGAGCUGAAAUCAGUCGAAGAUACCAGCUGGCUGCAACUGUUUAUUAAAAACACAGCACUGUGCAAACACGAAAGUGGACGUAUACGGUGUGACGCCUGCCCGGUGCCGGAAGGUUAAUUGAUGGGGUCAGCGCAAGCGAAGCUCUUGAUCGAAGCCCCGGUAAACGGCGGCCGUAACUAUAACGGUCCUAAGGUAGCGAAAUUCCUUGUCGGGUAAGUUCCGACCUGCACGAAUGGCGUAAUGAUGGCCAGGCUGUCUCCACCCGAGACUCAGUGAAAUUGAACUCGCUGUGAAGAUGCAGUGUACCCGCGGCAAGACGGAAAGACCCCGUGAACCUUUACUAUAGCUUGACACUGAACAUUGAGCCUUGAUGUGUAGGAUAGGUGGGAGGCUUAGAAGUGUGGACGCCAGUCUGCAUGGAGCCGACCUUGAAAUACCACCCUUUAAUGUUUGAUGUUCUAACGUUGACCCGUAAUCCGGGUUGCGGACAGUGUCUGGUGGGUAGUUUGACUGGGGCGGUCUCCUCCUAAAGAGUAACGGAGGAGCACGAAGGUUGGCUAAUCCUGGUCGGACAUCAGGAGGUUAGUGCAAUGGCAUAAGCCAGCUUGACUGCGAGCGUGACGGCGCGAGCAGGUGCGAAAGCAGGUCAUAGUGAUCCGGUGGUUCUGAAUGGAAGGGCCAUCGCUCAACGGAUAAAAGGUACUCCGGGGAUAACAGGCUGAUACCGCCCAAGAGUUCAUAUCGACGGCGGUGUUUGGCACCUCGAUGUCGGCUCAUCACAUCCUGGGGCUGAAGUAGGUCCCAAGGGUAUGGCUGUUCGCCAUUUAAAGUGGUACGCGAGCUGGGUUUAGAACGUCGUGAGACAGUUCGGUCCCUAUCUGCCGUGGGCGCUGGAGAACUGAGGGGGGCUGCUCCUAGUACGAGAGGACCGGAGUGGACGCAUCACUGGUGUUCGGGUUGUCAUGCCAAUGGCACUGCCCGGUAGCUAAAUGCGGAAGAGAUAAGUGCUGAAAGCAUCUAAGCACGAAACUUGCC